GUGUCAGCAGCCGCGGUAAUACCGGCAGCCCGAGUGAUGGCCGAUCUUAUUGGGCCUAAAGCGUCCGUAGCUGGCCACGCAAGUCCAUCGGGAAAUCCACCUGCCCAACAGGUGGGCGCCCGGUAGAAACUGCGUGGCUUGGGACCGGAAGGCGCGACGGGUACGUCCGGGGUAGGAGUGAAAUCCCGUAAUCCUGGACGGACCGCCGAUGGCGAAAGCACGUCGCGAGAACGGAUCCGACAGUGAGGGACGAAAGCCAGGGUCUCGAACCG
This 272-nucleotide ribosomal RNA is filed under the name uncultured prokaryote. RNAcentral describes it as "partial 16S ribosomal RNA". It matches the Rfam family "Archaeal small subunit ribosomal RNA", at positions 455 to 726 of the family's 1478-position model. The record is from RNAcentral.